UGUAAGACAAUAAUUUAUACUUAAUCCAAAAUGCAUAUUAUUAGACAGUAAUGACUGUCUAGUCUGAGUUUUACAUUAUUAACCAGUUGACUCGUAUAGAUUCCAAAUCACUAUGCAGCAGUAGAGUGGGAAAAUGUAACGAAUAUGGAUAAACACAAUUUCACAUGGGCACAGUUAGACUUUACAAACUGGGUUUUAGUCAAUUAAAUAGGCAUGGUUUCUUGUAAGAAUCUCCAUGCCUAAAACUGAUUCUUCUUUAUUUGUCUUAUAAGUUUAUUUAAUGAAGUUCUGUGCAAUGGAUAGGAAAUGCAUAUAAAAAUUUUAACUGGUGCACCUGAAGGGGAGAUACCACUUAUGAGAAUUAGGUUUCCAUGGGAUGCUAACAUUAAAAUAUAUCAUAAUGAAAUAGGAUACUGGAUCCAGUGUUGGGCUUCCAUGAACUCAGUAAUAAUGUCCUAGGUUCUAUGAAGGGCAGGGAAUUUUUAAUCAGCCAAGUGGCUCUCAUCUUCUUGAGAGGACAUUGCUGCAUGAAAUAGGGUAUUUUGUUAGCUAAGGGAAGUUUUGAUAUUUAAUAAAUAGUCAUUCUGGCUUAGAAAUCCAUAAAGUUGCCUUUAUUAUAGGACAUUUAGGCCAUAAUAUGUGGCUGCCAGCCAGAUUGAAACUGCAGGUAGCACUGACAUGUGGCCAGCUGGACCGUAGGUAAUCUGAAACACAAACCUGAUACAGAUCUAAUACAGUUAAUCCAUUUAUAGUUAGUUUUUAACAUUUAAUGAUUUCAGUACAUAAUGCAAAAUCCUAGAAGACAGUCGUCUUCAUGCUUGUCAUCAGAGAACCAGAAAUCUUACGCUUUGUAAUUUGUCACUUUUAAAAGAGCCAACACAUUAAAUAUUUGAAUCUGUUAGGAAAACAAUCUAUAAAUAUGUUGAAUGAUUAUCUCUAUAACUUUCUUACCCUCAGAAUCAUCAUCAAGAGAAAAAUGGUCGACAGGGUCUAGUGACUUUGUGUUGAAAAACAAGGCAUGUUGUUCAUCAUCACCUGUAGACAGCUUCACCAUUAGUCCCUGUGAAAUAUGAUACACAGUUUAUAAAAGAGAAUUGUAACAUUUUCAGUGCAUCAGAUCCUCUUAAAACAUGCAGAGGUGGAAUCUGAAUAGAACUGCAUGGUUAGAAUCUGUUUUAUAUGAUUUCAGUUUUACAUACUGCACAUAUACGUAAGAAAAUAUGGUAUGUAUUGGACAAUUCCUUUUAUAUACUGAACUAGUCGCAUUAAUAUGAACCAUAACCUGUACUGACUGAACCUUUCUUAAUAAAAACCAAAAUACACAUUA
Non-coding RNA from Zootermopsis nevadensis, 1327 nucleotides. Lineage: Eukaryota; Metazoa; Arthropoda; Insecta; Blattodea; Termopsidae. The record is from RefSeq and is a predicted model, not a curated record.